This 285-nucleotide long non-coding RNA is filed under the name Homo sapiens (human). RNAcentral describes it as "non-protein coding lnc-SMIM19-2:1". The record is from RNAcentral. Lineage: Eukaryota; Metazoa; Chordata; Mammalia; Primates; Hominidae.
UUUAUUUUUUAUUUUUGGUAGAGACAGGGUCUCAUUAUGUUGCCCAGGCUGAACCUUAUCUCCUGGAAUUAAGUGAUCCUCCUGCCUCAGCCUCCUAAAAUGCUUGGGAUUACAGGCAUGAGCCACCAUGCCAGCCCGUACACAUAUUAUUGAUUUACAUACAGGUAUUGUGCUGUAUUGUCUUUCUGUUUCCUGUGAUUGUCAUCAAUCACUGUGUUUCUAAAGACAAUCUAUGUUGCUGCAUGUGCAUGUGGCUCAUUGCUUCUCACUGCUAUGGAAUAUUCC